Molecule: transfer RNA, 59 nt
Filed under: Escherichia coli
Lineage: Bacteria; Pseudomonadati; Pseudomonadota; Gammaproteobacteria; Enterobacterales; Enterobacteriaceae
Also listed under: 83 other names
Description: tRNA-Arg
Rfam family: tRNA
About the family: Transfer RNA (tRNA) molecules are approximately 80 nucleotides in length. Their secondary structure includes four short double-helical elements and three loops (D, anti-codon, and T loops).
Source: RNAcentral
AGCUCAGCUGGAUAGAGUACUCGGCUACGAACCGAGCGGUCGGAGGUUCGAAUCCUCCC